This is a long non-coding RNA of Carya illinoinensis, 2164 nucleotides long. RefSeq lists it as uncharacterized. The transcript is spliced from 3 exons. The record is from RefSeq and is a predicted model, not a curated record. NCBI's taxonomy places the organism in Eukaryota, Viridiplantae, Streptophyta, Magnoliopsida, Fagales, Juglandaceae.
AUUAGCGAGAGAGAUAGCGGCAGUGGCUAGGCUUGUCUUCGUGUUUCUUCAAUUGCUGGGUUAUCGCUUGAAGAGCAAUGGAGACGGACGACAUAGCUCUUGAGGGAUUGUUUGGUUACGACAAGCUGGAAAGAGAAUUAAUCCUCAGCCAAAAUAAUUUUUCUCCACCUCCGCCUCUACUUAGCGCCCUAAAUGAUCACCGGGAUGAGAUGACACGAGAGGAAGCCUACUCCUACAGCGAACAAGUUUUGAAGAGUGACGGCUUUGAUGUUUUUCUGACAUCCAUGGCGUCAAUUGUUUCCACCAAAUUCAACCGUGCAACAUAGACUACGACAAUUAUAUGUAUAAACGGCAUUCGCAGCUCGCAAUCGACGAAUAUAAUCGUCGGUUCAAGGAUGCCAAUGCAGAAUUGGAGUUUGUUAAGGUCUUGAAGGUAAUUGAUCAGGCUACCAAAUGAGUCAGGUAUUAUAUAACCUUCAUUGCCAAGGAUCUUGGCGAUGGAGGUGAGAUUAAGACGUAUCAAGCUGUGGUGUUAGAUGGGAUAGAUUCUGAGACAGCGAAAUCCUUUAGGCUAAAGCCCCCCGAGGAUGAGCGAGGGAAGGCAAAUUGAUUCUUGAAAGCUUUGAGCCACUGUUAUGGCGUUGUCGUUUUCGUAUUUCUAAUUAAUUCAUUGGUAAAUAGAUGAAUCUGUUAAUUAUCUUAUACAUAUAUCUAGCUGACCUUCCAUGAAACUAUAACAAAUAUCCCAUCUAAUUGGACUAGGCUACUGGAUCCUCUUAUGCCAGUCAUAAAUUUUAGGGCCAUGUUUGGUUAUGAUCUCUGAGGAGAUUCAUAUACUAUAUUAGAGUGGUAGCUCAAUGGAGCUACUCAUUUUUUCAUGUUUUCAGAAGAUCAAAUACUCAUUGGGAUGAAAUUGAUACUUAUGCGCAAUCUCCAUGAUAUUGAAGUGAUGGGUAGGAAAGAUUCUUAUCUGGCAAAGUGACAGCAAUAAAAAAUGAGGUUGUUCACAUUGUCAAGGAGAUUACAGUCGUGGAGGAGAUGAGCUGGAUGUGUAGGAAGAGCAGGGCUUCACAGUGACGUGGCCAGAGCACUUUGGUACUCAAUUUUCAAAUGUCUUGGUAUAGUUUGGGUUAUGCCCUUGGGAAGGGUUAUGGCAUGCUGAAAGGGAAAAUAGCAAUCUUUGUCGCCUAGAUGUGUGUUGAAUGAUUCCAUUAUGCUUAAGUGUCUCUAAGUUCGGACAGUGGCAUAUGAUAGAUAACCUUAGCUUUACUGCUUGUAGAUUUUCCACCUCAUGUGUACAGGUGCCGCACCUUUAAUAAAAUCUCUAUUACCCAUUAAAAAAAAAUCAAAGACAUGGUAUUGCUUCCACUCUGAAAUAAUACUCUACAUCCCUCCAUAACCUCCACUGCCACUGUUCUAAUCCAUAGCUACCUUCUCAUUCUACUAGAUAUUUAUCCACCAAUUCCUCAUUUGAGCUUCCUGUCCUGUAAUCCUCUUGUUCUCAUUCCACAAGCGAUCCAUCUUUUCUAGCCAUUAUCUCUAGCCUAUUUUCUGUCAGUUAUUCAGAAACAUUUGGUUAUGGAAACGAGAUGGAGCCCGUCCUAGAAGUCUAUUGAGUAACAUUUAUUGAUCUUAACCGGAGAUUUUGUUGGGCAUUAACCUCUGAUUGCUAUUACAAAGUGUUGGGCUUUAAACUUUUGGAUUAAUAUAUAUUAGAAAGUGUCCGCUGUGUAUAAAAUAGGAGAUUGGUUACCGGAACUUUAAUUUUUUGUUUAGCAUUGUUCUUUAUCUUUGUAUUAUUUCAUUUUGAUUCUGGCAGUCAUGGGAGACAAUGGUUUUGGGAAAAUCACCUUUGGAAUGGUUAGUUAGUAUUUUUAUAUUAUAUCACGGAAGCACAAGUUGUUUACUCAAAUGCUAGUAAUGAUUUUCAGGAAUUGACUAUUGCAACAUUAUGCUGUUAAUGGUGCAAUGAUUUGCAAUACUGAAAGCCUUUGUUGAUAAUUUAUUUAAAUUUUAAAGAUACACUAGAUUACUGUCCUAUUAUCCUUUGUUGCUCAGACCAGUGCUGGGUGUCUCUUUUAUUCUGAACUCUUUCUUUCCCAUCUUGUGGAGAUGGGUAUCCAUUAUUUUGUACCCUUCGUGUCUAUCUUUUUCUAUCUGUCUA